GUAGGAAUACAUAAUAAGGAAAUCAGCCUUCCUUGCUUUUUUUUCUCACAAAAUGACCAUUUUCAAUACAGGAGUGCCAGUUGUAGGCAACAGCGGAGCAGUGUGAAAUUUCAGGCAGAGCUUUGCCAAGGUUGAAACAUGGUUACAGGAGCUUUUGAUAAGAAGAGCUGAACAAGGCUCAACACAAUUUUUAUAAACUUAAGCAGGAUAGUCAUCAGUUCUGUCACCGGUCAUCACUCUGUUAAUUACGGCAAAACUAUGAAGAAAGCAACAGUGGGAUACAGAAGAUGAUUUAAUUCCCUUUCAUUGCCAGCUAGACGGAGCCCCUGCCUUUAAUGGACUUGUGCCGAAGAUCAAUUCGUUUUGCUCUUGGCAGAGACCGCCUGCAUGACAUAGAAAUUCUACCUUUGCCUCUGUCUCUGAAAAAUUAUUUACAAUAUCAAUAAGACGUCUAGAACCCUCCGGCCUCACAUUGGACUACAUCAAUGCAAAUAGCAGAAAAUUGUUUACAGCAGAAUAAAAAUUUUCGUGAUGGACACUUAAGUGUUAUUUAAUUUUUAAUAUAUAUAUUUUUUUCUGAAUCAGUGAAAGCGGAUCACUGUGGGGGACUACUAAAGAAUGUGAAAACAUUGAUUUGAUCAAGAUUCAUGUGCUAUCUGUUGCCUGUUGUGUUUACAGUCCUGAAAGCCAUUAUCCUAAGCUGUCAUAUAUUGGUUUAUUGUUGAUGCCUCUAGUAAAUGCCAAUAGAAAAUCUGACCUGCAAGAUCCCAUGUCAUGCAGGACAGAGCAUUCUUCAAUGAUGUGGGUUUUUUGUUUUGUUUUUAUUUUUCUUUCUUUCUUUCCUUUUUUCUUUCUUUCUACUUCUUCUAUAUCCUACCCCACUAUAAUCAGUUAGCAAAGGAAAACUGAAAAUAGCUUAAAUCUGACCUUUGGUAUCCGGAGUUGUUAAGAGCUUUGAGUGUUCCUGGCAUAAUCAGCCUGUAACACCUAAAAGCUCUGACAAUUAGGGAAGGAAGAAAUAAAAAAAAAAUAAAUAAAAAAAUAAAAAAAAAACAAAAACAAGAAGAAAGCAAGCAGCUUGUCUAGAAGAAUGUGUGAUUUAAAUCAUGAAAAUCUGAUAUAUGUGUCUGAAAGGUCAGUUUUUUGACGUGGUAAGUGAGAUGCAGUCCAUUGCUUUCAAGACCAAAUCAAAUCCCUCCAAAGUUCUGCAGUCUAUAGCGAAGUGCUCACUACCCCAGGAAUUCAGGAUACUAAUAUUUUAGCUCGUCACUUCUUUUUUGAACAAAUUUAUAAUUUUUAUGUGGUAUGAACUCUAAAUACUUGGUUCUCUUCUUAAUUUAUGUGUGGCUAUAAUGUUUAUUUAUCUGUUUAGAAUCUGUGGUGUUCUCAUUUAACUGUUUCCCAUCUUGGGGGUUACUGAUUUUGUUGUGUUGUUGUUUUUUUUAUUUUUUUUUCCCAACUUCACCUGAAAUGUUAUUAAUUUUUCAGGCUCAUCCCAUUUUUAAGAUGCUGCUUUCUAUUUGCAUUUCUUACAUGUUUCAGAUUAUCAACCUCAUCAGUUACCUAGUUUUUAAACUGGAAGAUGUUGCUAUGGCAGGAUGUCAAGUGACUGAGCUGCCUUCAGCAUAUUUUAAUGUGAAUUUACUGAUGAAUGAAGAUAAAAUUUCUAAUAAAGUCUACUGUCCAAAAUAAAA
Non-coding RNA from Meleagris gallopavo (turkey), 1694 nucleotides. NCBI's taxonomy places the organism in Eukaryota, Metazoa, Chordata, Aves, Galliformes, Phasianidae. The record is from RefSeq and is a predicted model, not a curated record.